RNAcentral lists this ribosomal RNA (370 nucleotides) under uncultured Streptococcus sp. Its description in RNAcentral is "bacterial SSU rRNA". It matches the Rfam family "Bacterial small subunit ribosomal RNA", at positions 1014 to 1382 of the family's 1533-position model. The record is from RNAcentral. Lineage: Bacteria; Bacillati; Bacillota; Bacilli; Lactobacillales; Streptococcaceae.
UUACUUCGGUACAUCGGUGACAGGUGGUGCAUGGUUGUCGUCAGCUCGUGUCGUGAGAUGUUUGGGGUUAAGUCCCGCAACGAGCGCAACCCCUAUUGUUAGUUGCCAUCAUUCAGUUGGGCACUCUAGCGAGACUGCCGGUAAUAAACCGGAGGAAGGUGGGGAUGACGUCAAAUCAUCAUGCCCCUUAUGACCUGGGCUACACACGUGCUACAAUGGUUGGUACAACGAGUUGCGAGUCGGUGACGGCGAGCUAAUCUCUUAAAGCCAAUCUCAGUUCGGAUUGUAGGCUGCAACUCGCCUACAUGAAGUCGGAAUCGCUAGUAAUCGCGGAUCAGCACGCCGCGGUGAAUACCGGUUCCCGGGCCUU